CGGGGAGGUCAGAAAGGUAACAAAGAGAGGAGAAAAAAGAGGAAGGAUAUGAAGUGAAAAGAUGGCAGACAGAGUGGAUAUUAUUUCACGCAGUUAUUAUAAUGAAGUCCUUCCAACAGAGGUUGUGAUGAUGGAGGAUUUCUAAGUGGUAGCUAUGUUAAACCGCUUGAUGGAUUUGAUGCAAAUAUAAUCACACACAUGCUCUCAGUGAGGCAUUUUUCUCGCUGUGACAGAAUUUGGAUGGAGGCACGUCCAAACAUGCCCAGAGCCCACAGAAUUAUGGGUACUGAAAUAGGGAAAGAUUGGUGGAUGUGCCUUUAUUUCAUUUGGGACGUCAAAUGGUUCAUAUUUUAUCCGCACAGCCUCUGACUGAUGAGAUGAGGCAGAUUUAUGACCGCAGGUUUGAUGUCUUAUUGGAAGAGAAGUCAUCUUUAAAGGGUCGUAUGUUUUCACUCUAUACUGUUAAUAACAUGUGAAUUGAGCUGGAGUGAAAGAUGUAACCGAAUGACUGAUGAAAGCUUCUUCCGCUUCAAGAUUUUGCUUUUUCUUCCAACCACUGUGUUUCUAAACUUUGCAAGUGGAGGAUCAGACCUUUCAUCAGGAGCUUCUCGUCCUUGAAGGCCCCCGUUGUUUCGCUCUCAGGACGGGGGUGAGCAAGGGAGCAUUUCAACCUGGAAUCUGACCACCUGAAUAUUCCUGUUUCUAAUCCCCUUAGCUCUGAUCUUCACUCUGAAAGAAUCGCAUCUUUACGUCUAAAUAUUGACUUUAUUAGAGAUCCCACUUCUAUUUUUUCACUAGGGGCGGGAGAAAAAAAUCGAUAAAACAAAGUAUUGCGAUAUUUUGUCUGGUGAUAUAUCCUAUCGAGCAUUUACCAAGUAUCGUUUUUCAAAUUAAUUGUUAAUAUGAAGUCAAAUCUAUGAUAAUGGAAAAAUAAAAUCAACUGUUUGUCCAGUGAGAUUGGCAGAGGUGUUAUCGUAGAGCAGGAAAAAGUUAGAGCAACAAAUAUUCGUAAGGUUUGCAAGAUGUGCUACAUGAAAAUAUAAUAUAGGAAGACAUAUAUAUAUAUAUAUAUAUAUAUAUAUAUAUAUAUAUAUAUAUAUAUAUAUAUAUGCUAAAUUAGCUAAACAGUUGAAAAAAUUAAAUAAAUUGCAAUAUAUUGUAUCGCAAUACUCACUAUAUUGCAAAAUGUUAAAAAUCUCAAUAAUAUCGUAUCAUGGCUCAAGUAUCGUGAUGAUAUCAUAUCGUGGGGCUACUGUGAUUCCCACCCCUGUUUUUUACAGGGACGCUGAAGUCAUUUGAUUAACAUGUGAGAGUCAACACAACAUUUAGCCUAACAAAAGAAGCUGCAGCUUCUUAUACUAUCACUAAAUCUUUGUUUAUUUUAUGUUACAGAUAAUGUACAAUUAAAAACUGCCGCUUCACACCUCAACAUGUUUUUUCAGUGAUUGGUUUCGUUAAAGGAGAAAGAGGUGUGUGAGAAAAAAAAGGAUCCAGACAGGCUAGAUGCUUUAAAAAAAUUGGUGUAAUGUUUCUUUACCUUUAGCUGUUUUAUUAUAAAGUCAAAAUCUUUAGCCAAAAAAUACGUGUGAAAAACCUUGUUAGCUGAUUGGACGAUCAAAGGAUUUUUACCUAAAUCAGCUGAGAGAUGUUUGUUAGCUAGAGAGGCGAGUGAUGGUCAUUUUAGUUUCUUUGAGCUGCAGGUUAGUUACUUUACCUCUCAGUUAGAGCUGGACGUUUGCUAGUUAAUUUGAAUUUAAUCAAAUAACUAAUAACUUGAAAUAACUUCUAAAGUUGUUUGGAACUUGAGGCAAAUGGGUCUUAUUCAUGUUGUGUCCUGGCUGCGUUUUUAUUGCAGGAUGAUAGGGGAAGGUCCCGCCCUCCUUCGCCUCUGACUAGAAGUGCUGGGCUCCGAUUGGUUAUUCCUUAUGGCUGUGAAACGUUAUUGUCUGUCGGGUUAGGCGAUUCAGAAGGGCGAUAAUGUUCUGUAAUGUUCUGUUCGAUGUACAGAGCCGACGGCUCGCGUUUGACUUGAGCGUGUGAUGAUGUAGCUUUUCUAGCCAAUCAGAGGGGAAGGAGGGCGGGACUUUCCUCUACCGUCCUACAAAAAAAAAAAAAAUUGCAUCCUGGCCUCCCUUAGACGGGGCAUAACAUUGGGUGACCAUAUUGAAAGUUGUGUGCAAAAUUUCGAGGGUUUUUCUGGGUUGAGUGUUUUUUACGCGCAUGUUCUUAAUUCCCAAAAAUUAAAAAAAAUAAUAGACGACAUUUUAUCUCAUUGUUUUUUCCCCCACUUGCAGAAACAGGCUCCCAUACAAAACCCUGGACAUUUGAAGGAUUAAAAAAAAACUCCACAGGCCGGACAGCUCCCCAAAAGGGGAUGUCACCCUUGUAUUACAGGAAGAAAAUAAUCAUUUAGUUUAGGAAAUAUCAGCGAUCAAGAGCUCAGGGUUCAAGCUAAAAGAAGAUAGUUCGAAACAGUUUUAUCACCCCCUCAGGAUUAGGAUGAACUUCCUGUCCUAAAGGGCCUGAUCACACCAGUUUACUCUGACAGUGGUCCAUGUCAACACAGCGAACAUUUCUCUUCCUAACUUCUCCGUCUGAUUUAAAACGUCUGAGUAAGAAGUCGUCGACGUAAGAGAAGUGACGUACUGCGCCGCCUCUUGAAGGCAGAGCUGUAAUAAAAGGUCCGCACAGUUGUCGUCACUCCGGGUCUCUGGGAGCCGCAGCGUCAGUGUGUCAGGUUGUGCGGGCGCUGACCUUUCUGUUGUAACAGCCGGAGAAUAAAGGGAAGUGCCACACAAAGAGCUCUAUUAACUGAGAAAGCAGAUAUAAUGGGGAAACAAGAUGGGCCUUUAAUGGGGACAGGCAGGCCUGUCAGCAUGCAUAAUGUAACAGUCGUGUUAAAACAACACUGCUCCCCCCUCUGACACACACUCACACACACACGCGCACACGCACACACACAGAGCACAGACACAGCCUUAUAUAUUAGAGAAGCAAGUUAUUAAUUCACAUUCUGGUCUUCAUCUAUGAAAUAUUCUCCAUGCACGGCGCACAUUUCUCUUGCGCGGAUGAGAAUCAUUGUUGUGUGUAAUUAUGAAGACAAUGUUGGGAGGGAUUAUCAAAGAAGUACGGGAGGAAGAUAAGAAAGCAGCAGAUGAAGAGGGAGGGAGGACGAGAAGAAAGGGAAGGAGAGAGGACGGAGGAGGAGGAGGAGGAGGUGGUGAGAAUGAAGAGAGGAGGGGAAAGAUUACUCCUCUUCCUCUGUUUGUUGAGCUAUCCUUCCCUCCUCCUCCUCUCCUCCCUCCUUUCCUCUGUAUUAGCAUGAUAAAGACGUGGUGGAAUAGGGCAGCCGGCAGGUCUUUGGACAUGGAGACAAUGCUAUCGCCAGAACAGGCGUCUACAGCAGGGGAACAGCCGCACAGGGACCGUACACCAACACACACACACUCACAGACACACACACGGGGCUGCAUACAUGAAUAAACACACACGUAGUCACUGAUACAAGACACAAACAUGUAAACACACUCCGAGCUGUGGAUUAUAAUGUCCAUGAGGAGUUACACAAUGAGAGGUAACAUGAAAUCAAAGACAGCAGUCUCCUAACUGUAAACAUGCUGAACACAAACAGACGGAAUAUCCCUUUAAUGGAUCGUUUUAUUAUGCUGUGCCGUCUUGAUAAAAAAUUUACUGUCCUUUACUCAACUGGAUCAGGAUGUUUAAAUUUAUAUCAGGCUGAAAAUUUAUAUUCAGCAGCAGGAAAGUCUCUCAGCCUUAGUUUGGAUUUUUGAGAGACAAGUGGAAAGACUCGAAACCUGAGGUGUGACUUUAAUAAACUUCAACUGAGCAGCUUAUAUUUCAGUGAUAACUACAUAUGUUUUUAUCUACAUAUACAGUCUAAAACAACAGUAUUUAUACUUGUGCAAAAUUCAACAUCCCACGUUAAUUAAGUUGUUUCUUUUACUCCACCUAAGCCAGCAUUACUUGUGAUAACUUGUUAUGAAUAUUGAAUCGCCAUCAAAACUAAGGAUAUGUGCAUCUACUACACGAUAAAUCUAGUAUUUUAAUCAAGUAUUAAAGUAAACUUUUACCUAAGGCCGGUGUUAUUAUUUAUGACUUUGUGAGCUGGUGUUUAGCUGUGUUAGAGAAAAGAUCCUACAUUUUUGCUGAUUUCUUUGUCACCAGUUUCUUAGUUGGAACUGUUAUGAACUUAAACAUAUAAAUACACAUAGUGUUAAACCGUUGGAUGACUAAACUGAACUGCAGCAAAGUUAAACAACAUGCGAUAUACUGAUGGAAGCGUCAUUUCCAUAUGCUUCGCCAGGUUUUGCUGAAUUGCUUGUUUUGUGAUGUAAUAACAGCCGCCGAAUGCUAAUGUGGAUAAAUAUAAAACUCAGCGGGUGCUAGCGGCUAACCUCAGACUCUUUAUUUAAAGAUGGAGCUUCACAGCUGUGUAAAAAGUAACACCCACAGACACUAAAAGAUGCCAAAGAGAAAUGUUUCAGACAGAGGCAAAAUUGUGCUGAAAUUAAGUCAAAGUGGAAUAAAUAACAAGGUUAUUGAGCGAAAAAUCAUGAAAGGUGAAAAACGAAAAAAAAAAGUCACUGAUAAAACUGAGUCGGACAUUUACAGGACCUUUUAGAUGUUGAUUUUCAUUUAAAAAAUAUAUAGAUUGUAUUUUGUAUAUCAGUAUUAUGAAAUGGGGUGGGUACAUUUUUAAAAACCUUUAUUAACGUUAUUUCAUUUAGAUCAUUUAUGCUGAAAUUUAAAGUUUAUUAACAUUUGACUUUUUACCCUUUCCCAGUAAAAAUGUUUAUGUAAAUGUAUGUUGUCAUCGUAAUAUUAAUAGUUACAGUAAGUUACAGAUUCACCACUUUUGUCUGUUUUUUAUUCUACUGUUUUAAAUUUUACUUUUUAUUGUCAUCUAUUUAUUUACUUCUUCUAUUUAUCCCAUGUACACCACUUUGUUUGACUGUCGAAGGCUCUAACUGAAGUUAGAGCCUUACAGAGAUGACACGGUCAUUUAUUGUGAAAUAUUGAAACAAAUUCUGGUAAUAAUUUACAGUAAAAAUGUUACUCAGUUUCACUUACAUGCCCUCAUUAUCAACAGUGGAAAAGCAAAGAUCUUUUGUAAGGAAAGUAUAAUUUUUUAACGCAGUUGUGUGAGUUUUAUUUCUUCUAAAAAGGACAAGAUCUGCUUUUUAACAUUAAUACACUUUAAAAUGUGUGAAACCAUUCAUUAAUUCUGUUUUGACCAUAAAAAAGAGAUUUUUACUGUAGUGAUGCAGGUUUAAAAUGCACUUUUAAUAAAAUUCACCGUCUCACCUUCGAUGGUUUUCACACAGAAAAACGAAGAUUUUCACUUUCUUUAAUAAAACCUGUGUGUGCGUCUGUUUCUCCUCUUCUCUGAGAGAUUUUACCCUCAUGAACUGUCUCCUCCUCCUCUUCCUCAUCUGUCCAUGUCAUUGGAAACAUCAUUAACCAGUGCAUCAAUAAGCUGCUGGUCAGGCUAAUCAGUGAGAUCUACACAAACACACACACACACACAUACACAAACCUACACAAACACCAUGGAUGCUGCACCUCCACAGAUCUGGAACAGGAGCCACAGGCCCAGCGGGACCCUCGGCCACCCCGUCAGAGGAGCUGGGCCUCGCUUCAGCUCUCCUGUUUUACUGGAGGAAAAAGAAACAUUAUGGGUCACAGCGAACGCGCACACACACAUUUACACAAACACACACACACACACACACACACACACACACAGAUGCACACUGUAUGUAGCAUGUGUAAACAUACUGUACACACCAGCAUGGAUCACAGCCAGUUCAUGAGCCUGUGACGGUCGCCCAACCAGAACACACACACGGGCCACACGCCACACACACUCACACUCUCAGUGAAAACACACAGAACUGUACAAACAGGGCGAGCUCAUGAGCGGGAACGAACACACACCAGAAAAUUCCACCGGACGGUUUAAAAAAGCUUCAUUCAGCAACAAUCAUCAGUGAGUCUCAUCGUUAGUUAAAGUCGUCAAACAUCACGACAAUCUGCUUACAUUAAAUGACAAAAAGACGUCGAAAUACAAUAAUAUGUUGAUGGAUUAAAGUUAAAUAUGCAUAUUUAAACUGUUGAUGUAGGACAAACACAGUCAUGUAAGAGUUAAUGGAAAAUAUUAAGAAAAAAGAGCAUUUGCAUGACCUUUAAAAAUGAUUCAUCGUGACCCAAAAUGUGCUUUAAUGUUUAUAUACCAAUAUAAGACGAGUUUCCUCCUUUAAAUACACCAGAAAAACUCUUAAGUAAUACAUAUAUAUGUGUAUAUAUAACUCUACAGUUGAAUAUUGUUGUGUUCACAAUAUCAACCCUAAAAUAAAAUGGUACGAUGCAGCAAAUUACUGUAAAAUCCACUCGACCUGUGAGACCGGCAGUGAACUGUAAACUAACCCUAACCCUCGUCCUUAAAAAACAAAGGUUCUCUGUGAUGAUUUAUGAAUGAAUUUUAGGCUAGAGAGAGGCUGCUGUAUUGUUUUGAACUGUCAACCAAUCAGAGGUUGUUUAUGUGAUCAUCUGACCUGUAAAGGCCCAAUUAGAAGUCAGAUUGUUUUUGUGACCUGAUUAGAAGCUGCAUUUACGCAAGUGAUCAUUUUUUCAUUACAUUUAACACGCAGGCGAUCCCACGUGACACCAAUAUUGUUUACAGUUUCUCAGGAACUAUACUGUGUAUCUCUACGGGAUGAAAAGUGUUUAAAAGUUUACCCGUUUAGCGAUCUAUCGAGGGUUUCCUGGUAUUUCGACACCUGCCACAAAGUUUACAAUCCAGCCGCAAAAAUAGGUCUUUGAUCGGAGACGUUUGAUGGUAAAUCCGCAGUGAUAUACCGGUGAAAACACGAUUAUUUAUCAUAUUGUUGUGAUAAAAAAAGAUCGCUAUCGCUAAAUGCAGUUCAUGUCUUCCGGGUUUGACGAGCUGUUUUGAUGACAUCUUUUUCUGUCAAACUUUCGAUCAAUAUGACCAAUUCUCAUAUUCUUCUUCUAUUGUUCCCCUGACAGUAGUGUCCAAUAAGAGGCAACCAAAGAUCAACAAGAGACAAGAAAGUUCCCUGCUUGUGACCCUCUGUCUCAUCCCAGACAAGAACUGCUUCAAUAAGUGGUAAAAACAACUUUAAAUAACAAAAAACGCCUGGAAGAAUUAGUGUGAAUAUGUAAAUAGUUUUUGCUGUGUGUUUGUUAGAAUCCCAAUAUUUUUUCUCCUGAUAGCCAAGACUUGAGAGAACUGUAGACUUAUGUGUUUUUUGAGCAAAGUACUGUACUUUGAUGGUUCUGAAUCAGAUAGAUAGAUAGAUAGAUAGAUAGAUAGAUAGAUAGAUAGAUAGAUAGAUAGAUAGAUAGAUAGAUAGAUAGAUAGAUAGAUAGAUAGAUAGAUAGAUAGAUAGAUAGAUAGAUAGAUAGAUAGAUAGAUAGAUAGAUAGACUCAUGCAGCCAGGGGGGCGGGACGUAUGACACUUAAAUCUUGACUUAAAUAAUUUUCCCUCUUUUUUUUUUCCCCAUGAAGCAGCAGCAACACUUUUCACCCCCCCAUUGUCUCAUAUCGUCUGCAUCAGCGAGGUGCUAGGCAGUCCGCUGACAUCAUCAGACGGAGACAGUGCGGGAUGACUGACGCUAUCCUCCUCCUGUCAGUCAUCGUCACGGCCCUGCAGGACAGAUGGGAUUAUCUGCAGCUGUGACUGACUGAGGGACCUGUCCACAACCUGCUGCCACACAGGUGUAACAGCUGCUGCAUCAACCUUCACCUAGACCCCACCUGGAGUGAACGGAC
Molecule: non-coding RNA, 7816 nt
Organism: Xyrichtys novacula (pearly razorfish)
Lineage: Eukaryota; Metazoa; Chordata; Actinopteri; Labriformes; Labridae
Source: the annotation of a GenBank genome assembly